This is a non-coding RNA of Pelobates cultripes (western spadefoot toad), 297 nucleotides long. Lineage: Eukaryota; Metazoa; Chordata; Amphibia; Anura; Pelobatidae. The record is from the annotation of a GenBank genome assembly.
CUCCAACCUAUCGUUCCUGAAUUUUUUUUGUAAUUGUCCUAUUUAUAGUUAAAUCCCCCUCUCAUAACAUUGUAAAGCACUACGGAAUCUGUUGGCGCUAUAUAAAUGGCAAUAAUAAUAAUAAUAACAUAGGCCUGCCUAUACCAUAACCCCACCGCCACCAUGUGCCACUCGAUCCACAACAUUGACAUCAGCAAACCGCUCACCCUCACAACACCAUACAUGCUGUCUGCCAUCUGCCCUGUAAAGUGAAAACCAGGAUUCAUCCAUGAAAAGAACACCUCUCCAAAAUGGCAG